Molecule: ribosomal RNA, 184 nt
Filed under: uncultured bacterium
Lineage: Bacteria
Description: partial 16S ribosomal RNA
Rfam family: Bacterial small subunit ribosomal RNA
Source: RNAcentral
UGCGUGAAGUUGGAAUUGCUAGUAAUCACGGAUCAGCAAGCCGCGGUGAAUACGUUCCCGGGCCUUGUACACACCGCCCGUCACACCAUGAGAGUCGGGAACACCCGAAGUCCGUAGUCUAACCGCAAGGAGGGCGCGGCCGAAGGUGGGUUCGAUAAUUGGGGUGAAGUCGUAACAAGGUAUC